ACACUAGGAGUUUCUCUCUUGAGAUUAUAUUGAUGAUCCAAGUAGCUCCCAUCCUUUGGAACAAAGCAAUCACAAGCAAAUAUUUCAAGCAAUCAAACACAAGGUCAUGCUUCUAAGAAUCCUCCAAUGGCCUUUGUAUCUCUCACUUUGGAUGAACAUGGCAAUGGUCCUCCAAUUAAGCUCAAAUGGAAACUCCUAGCACAAAAGCACACACAUCAAAAGUUCCGUGAAGUAAAACAAG
RNAcentral lists this long non-coding RNA (241 nucleotides) under Lathyrus oleraceus (garden pea). RNAcentral describes it as "Pisum sativum (pea) long non-coding RNA (PSAT_LNC017160)". The record is from RNAcentral. Lineage: Eukaryota; Viridiplantae; Streptophyta; Magnoliopsida; Fabales; Fabaceae.